Molecule: long non-coding RNA, 350 nt
Filed under: Nicotiana benthamiana
Lineage: Eukaryota; Viridiplantae; Streptophyta; Magnoliopsida; Solanales; Solanaceae
Description: long non-coding RNA (NBEN_LNC024090)
Source: RNAcentral
AGGCUGUUGGGUAUUCGAAUUGCUGGAAAUUGUUUGCUAUUGCUGCUGAUUCAUUACUACCUAUCUUAAAAUGUUCAAUUGAAAGGCUCAACUAUUUGACUAUUGAAGUGUGUGUUGAAUUAUUGUAUUAGAAUAGACGUUAGGAGAUAUGUACAUGUUCAUGCUUAUCUUAUAUAUGUAUUUACAUUGUAUGACUAUGCUGGAAAUUGGAGUGUGUUUAGACUGAUUUGGACUUUUAUGAUAAUCAAUUGAUAUUAGCCUGUCGUUUAGUCUAGGAAUAUGGUAUUUUAAUAACCGUUUGGGCUAUUAAAUUAAGAAUGGUAUCAGUUGUCGAUAACUUAGUUCGAGUG